This 848-nucleotide ribosomal RNA is filed under the name uncultured marine archaeon. RNAcentral describes it as "bacterial SSU rRNA". It matches the Rfam family "Archaeal small subunit ribosomal RNA", at positions 33 to 881 of the family's 1478-position model. The record is from RNAcentral.
UCGGAUUGAUACUAAGCCAUGCGAGUCUUUGUAGCAAUACAAGGCAGACGGCUCAGUAACACGUAGUCAAUCUAACCUAUGGACAGGGAUAACCUCGGGAAACUGAGAAUAAUACCUGAUAGAUCAAUAUGCCUGGAAUGGUUUUUGGUCCAAAUGAAUUUCGCCAUAGGGUGGGACUGCGGUCUAUCAGCUUGUUGGUGAGGUAAUGGCCCACCAAGGCUAUAACAGAUACGGGCUCUGAGAGGAGAAGCCCGGAGAUGGGUACUGAGACACGGACCCAGGCCCUAUGGGGCGCAGCAGGCGAGAAAACUUUGCAAUGUGCGAAAGCACGACAAGGUUAAUCCGAGUGGUUCCUGCUAAAGGAAUCUUUUGUUAGUCAUAAUACCACUGAUGAAUAAGGGGUGGGCAAGUUCUGGUGUCAGCCGCCGCGGUAAAACCAGCACCUCAAGUGGUCAGGAGGAUUAUUGGGCCUAAAGCAUCCGUAGCCGGCUGUGUUAGUUUUCGGUUAAAUCCAUAUGCUCAACAUAUGGGCUGCCGGGAAUACUACACAGCUAGGGAGUGGGAGAGGUAGACGGUACUCCGUAGGAAGGGGUAAAAUCCUUUGAUCUAUGGAUGACCACUUGGUGGCGAAGGCGGUCUACCAGAACACGUCCGACGGUGAGGGGAUGAAAGCCUGGGGGAGCAAACCGGAUUAGAUACCCCGGGUAGUCCCAGCUGUAAACAAUGCAAACUCAGUGAUGCCAUUGGGUUGUGGCCAUGAAUGCCCGCAGGGAAUCCCCCGUAAUUUGCGCCCCUGGGGAGGUACGUACGCAAGUUGAAACUUAAAGGAAAUUGGGGGCGGGGGAGCA